UGGAGAGGGAAGAUUAACCUUUCACUGGCCACAAUUCCUUCCCUCUUAUCGCGGAGGAUUCGGCAACGCGCCCCCCUCCCACCCAGCCUAUCUGUCUGAAUUGCUGAAAGCAUAAUGCUCCCAUAUGAGAGAUAAUAUCGUUUCUCUUCAAAAAUUAGAAGUCCGAUGCCACUGAAGUCACAAAUGUGGAGACAGCAGGAAUGGCAGCCAGUGUGGGACUUUUCCUCUACAAUACAGCAUGGUCACCUUCCAGUUGGGCUGGUUUGCAGGAAUUCAGGGAAGACAACCAUAACCUGUGCCUAACAGUGGGAGAAGUGAGAGAAACUAAGCUACAUCCUGCAAGACUGGAGAUGGAGAGAAGGAAGUUUGAGCCUUCUCAGUGAACUUAAACUUUCCUGCCAUGGGGGAACUGGUGGAAAAAGUCUAGAAAAGAUCCCUCCAGGUGUGAAGUCUGUGAUGUCAGUCAGCUUCAGAGACACAGCACCAGCUUAGCUGAGGAUCUGCAUGCAAGUCUCAGGGACCUUGAUAAUGAGACAUCGCAGCCUGUUCUUGUCUGGUUGGUGAGACCGUCCAGUCCCUCAUCAUGUUAUUUGUGGUGGCUUUAGAGACUUUCAGACCAAUCUGAAGGACAGACCCCAAGCUUUUGGAUGCUGCUCAGCCAGGACAAACCCCAAAACACGGGCUAUCCCAAGAAGAUGGGGGCUGGGAGCUGAUUUUUGGAAAACGACUUUGGCCUUUGACUAAAUCAGCUGGAGUGAAAAUAAAAAGACACUUCCUCCCAUAGCAUCACCAAAUCAGGCUUCCCUCAUCACAACAGAGUCGAGACAGUCCCAGCUCACCCCUCACUCCUCUCCUGUCUGAAGCUCCAGCUGGAAGAGCAGCCCUUCCCUGCUUGGGAUCUUGGCAGGGUCAGAGGUUCACAUGAAGCUUCAGACCUGGAGGCUGGCAGGGAUCUCGGUUUUGGAACCAAACCAAAAAAAAUGAGUGCAUGAUAAAGGAAGCACAUGAGACAGACUCAGUAUCCGGUGUCGCACCCGGGAUACAUCACACUCCUCAAGAACAUCUGCAGGCCAUGAGGAGGGUUCAAGAGGAUGUGGAGGAGCCCCUCAAACAACACCACCCUGCCCAGUGGGACCUCUCUGCGUGAUCACCUCGGAGAGAGGCACCAGCCAUGAUCACAUUCAUCGGCCAGGAGCAGCUGUGUAGCAGCCCUGCUGGUUGGAUGGGCAGCUGCCGGGACUGACAGAAGCUUCCCAGUGUGACACGCCAAGGCUGCCCCCUCCUUCGGCCAACGUCCCCAUCCAGCAGCGUUUUCUGUUAAAAUGCAGAGCUGAAUUCCUGUCUAGGAAGAAGUGGCAAAGAACAGCCACUCUUCACCUGAAGGUAACUAAAUCACCUGGUCUGGCAGAGGUUGGGCUUUCUGCUUGGUUUUUGCAGGAGCUGCUGUGGACGCAUCUUCCCAUGCCCAGUGCAGUGGGUGGCAUUCCUGGGACAGAACAAACCUGGCAGAGCCAUAGUUCCUGUGGCACCUGAGCAGUCAGAGCAUCCCCAAACUGGGAUUCAGAGCAGCCCCACUGACUUCGGUGUGGGGCAGUUGUGUUUGUGCCUCAGGGGCAUGAUGUUGGAACACAAGUGCUGAACUUUAAAAAUUUGCUUUAAAAAGUUAUAAUUUGCUCUGAUCUUUUAUUUUUUUUUUCUGAAGCACUUGUAAAGUUUGAAGAUGAUGCUAAUGAUGUACAGCACACGUGCUCUGAAAUGCAUCUCCCCUAGGUUAAUGUACCCUUUAGCUCACUGGGAAGCUCACUGGGCACGUUUUGGAGACUUUCAGCACCUCCAACGCAUUUCUGGAAAGAAAGCAAAUGAUCCAAGGUCUGGACACUGGGCUCUUAAAUUACCAAAAUAUUUAUCACUUAUGCUGAAAAACACUUUGCCAAAAAAACUGGGCUAUGGAGAGGGCAUUUGGCACUGGAUUAAUUUCUGAUGAAGUUUUAGGAGCAGGCUGUAGGUUUGUGUUCAGUGAUGCUUCAAUGUAAUGCCCUGGCCAGUCCCAUCCUGGCCCACAACUGCUCGGAUCAGGCUAUGCCAGAUUCCUGUCACCUUGGGCUUCAUUAGCAUGUGAAAACAGAGCCCUCUUGGCUUUGUGUCUCACUGAAAAACAAACCACCCAGCCCUCCCUUUGGCCAGGGGAGUGGAGCUGCCUCAUGCACUCGACUUUAAAAGGACUUGGACAGCAAUUCUUGACGGUCUUUUUUUUUUUUUUUUUACUACAGCUCUUAAAAAGUUACCAGAGUGAAGGUUCCUGUUUACAGUGGUGGGAGAAUAGCUCAGGUAACUGCUCAUAAAGGGUUGGCUGACGAAGGACACUGCAGAGAUGGGCCGAGGAAGAUUUGCAGGUGACAACUGGAA
Molecule: long non-coding RNA, 2406 nt
Organism: Corvus hawaiiensis (hawaiian crow)
Lineage: Eukaryota; Metazoa; Chordata; Aves; Passeriformes; Corvidae
Exons: 12
Source: RefSeq, a predicted model, not a curated record